CAAGGCACAGGGGUCCAGGUUGCCCUGCAAUGUCACCGUCUUCCCCACACACUCCCUGGAAGCAAAGCCAGCGCCACGUUCUGGUAACUGCAUACAUGGCAGCUCCCCCAGCCAACACCCCCACCUCAACCUCAAGGCCUCACCCUUCCAUGGCUUACCGGGCUUUCUUUGGGGCCACUGUCCAGUCAAGCCCAACCACCUCAUAGCCAGCUUGGGCCAGCUCCUCCAGGGCAAAAUGCCCAUCCUUAGCAAAGAUGAUCUGGGCACCAGCCACCACUUGUCCUACCAGAUAUGGGACCAGAGCAUCAGUGAGGAUGCGAAG
Molecule: long non-coding RNA, 322 nt
Filed under: Homo sapiens (human)
Lineage: Eukaryota; Metazoa; Chordata; Mammalia; Primates; Hominidae
Description: LNC_000304
Source: RNAcentral